GAGAGAGAUAGAGAGGAGAUGGCAAUUACAAAUAUAUGUGAAAAUUAAAAAAUCUCUCUACUUAAUCGAUUUGCAUGUGUUUUUCAAGCGUGACAUUGAUGAAUUAAAUACUAGUGAGGAUUUCUUGUUUCACAAGUAUGCUAAUUGAAUGUAAACUAGUUUUUUUUUUUCUUCUAAACAAUAGUAUUAGCUAGUUAAAGAAAUAUUAAUCAUUAAAGGCCAAGGCUUGUAAUGUAUAUGUAAAGGAAUUUAUUCUAUGAAUGUACUCAGUUCAAUAUUUUACAUCAUCAGUCGAACAUUAUUUGGGGAUUAUGCCUCAGAUCUUUUGGUGCCCACGAGUGAAAUGAUGUAGAAAGAAACAACGAAAAUGGUCCCUGUAUGUAAGAAAUAAUACAAUUGAGGAACCCAAGAAGCAUAUAUUGCAAUCUGUGAUUUGACUCAGUGGAAUCACCCCAACAAUACUACAAACAAGAUUACAAAUCUUUGAACAAAAAAAAAAGAUAAAAAAUCUUCUUGUUCUUUCGGCCUGAAAUUGUUUCUUUCCUCUUUGGAUCCAUGCCAAUUGCAUGCCAAAAGCAAGUUGAGCCACGGCUUGCGUACGUGGUCCACUAUUUUAUUUGUUACUUUUCCCACAGAAUCGAAGUAAAUUCUUUCUUCUGCAACUAGCUUCUUUUUUAUUUUUUAUUUUAUUUUUUUUAUUACGUACCUUGUGUUAGUUUACUGCAUUUGCAUGCAAUGCUCGAAUCCCAUAUGUAUCAAAGCAACUAAGUACGUAGCGGGGGCAGGUUUUUACUUAUGUUCUUGUGUUUGGGGCAAAUUGAAGUUUAUAUGUCAUUAAGAAGAAAAUAUUAGAGUGAAAACUCAAAUAUAUAUUUUAUUACAUUUAAUCUCUAAAAUUGUACCUUUCAAUAAAAAUAAUCUUUAAAUUUUCUAUUAGUAUGUUGAUGUGGAAACCAAAUAAAUUCCAAGUAACCAAUCAUAUGACUCCACAUGAAUUAAUCAUAAAAAUCAAUUUUAUUAAUAUUUCAAAACUAAAAUACACAAAACAAAAACAAAAAACUGAAAACAAAAACAAGAAAACACACCACCAGCAAGUCAGCAACCCCACAUUCAGAUCCAAUCACAAGAACCCCAAUUCCCUUGGGAAAACUACCACUAGCAACAAGUUUCUCAGUCGUCGUCUCACACCCUUAGCUUCCUCAGCCCCAAGACCAUCACGAUGAAACAGGUGAUCUCCGCUGGUUCAUGGCCUAAACCCACCAAGCUUUAGAUGUGAGGCAAUGCCGGAUCCAGGAUAUAUGUGGUCAAUCAUCCACUCACAAAGCUUCAACAAAAGAAAAUUCAAAGAACUUAGCGAAGAAGGCUUUGGUGUAAUUAACACAAUACGUUGAAAUGAAGGAAAUCUUAUUUAUUGAUAUCCCCGAUAAGCUACAAAUAUGUACAUAUACAUAAGUCAAA
Molecule: long non-coding RNA, 1458 nt
Filed under: Malus domestica (apple)
Lineage: Eukaryota; Viridiplantae; Streptophyta; Magnoliopsida; Rosales; Rosaceae
Description: long non-coding RNA (MDOM_LNC017317)
Source: RNAcentral